Molecule: ribosomal RNA, 329 nt
Filed under: uncultured eukaryote
Lineage: Eukaryota
Description: partial 18S ribosomal RNA
Rfam family: Eukaryotic small subunit ribosomal RNA
Source: RNAcentral
CCCUUAGAUGUUCUGGGCCGCACGCGCGCUACACUGUUUGAUUCAGCGAGUCUUAACCUUGACCGAAAGGUUUGGGUAAUCUUCUAAAGUCAAACGUGAUGGGGAUCGAUCAUUGCAAUUAUCGAUCGUGAACGAGGAAUUCCUAGUAAAUGCAAGUCAUCAGCUUGCGUUGAUUACGUCCCUGCCCUUUGUACACACCGCCCGUCGCUACUACCGAUUGAAUGGUUUAGUGAGAUCUCCGGAUUGGCUCUGUAGGUCCCGCAAGGGAUUUAUUAGUAGCCAAGAAGCUGCUCAAACUUGAUCAUUUAGAGGAAGUAAAAGUCGUAACA